Molecule: transfer RNA, 59 nt
Filed under: Physunio superbus
Lineage: Eukaryota; Metazoa; Mollusca; Bivalvia; Unionida; Unionidae
Description: tRNA-Val
Source: RNAcentral
UAGGGUAGUAUAUACAAUACAUUUUGCUUACACCAACUAACAGGCACACAGCCCCCUAA